RNAcentral lists this ribosomal RNA (253 nucleotides) under uncultured bacterium. RNAcentral describes it as "partial 16S ribosomal RNA". It matches the Rfam family "Bacterial small subunit ribosomal RNA", at positions 524 to 776 of the family's 1533-position model. The record is from RNAcentral.
UACGUAGGGGGCAAGCGUUGUCCGGAUUUAUUGGGCGUAAAGAGCGUGUAGGCGGUUUGGUAGGUCCGCUGUGAAAACUCGAGGCUCAACCUCGAGACGCCGGUGGAAAUCAUCAGACUAGAGUCCGGAAGAGGAGAGCGGAAUUCCUGGUGUAGCGGUGAAAUGCGCAGAUAUCAGGAAGAACACCCGUGGCUAAGGCGGCUCUCUAGUACGGUACUGACGCUGAGACGCGAAAGCGUGGGGAGCGAACAGG